UGCUCCUUGGGUGACGAGUGGCGGACGGGUGAGUAAUGUCUGGGGAUCUGCCCGAUAGAGGGGGAUAACCACUGGAAACGGUGGCUAAUACCGCAUAACGUCGCAAGACCAAAGAGGGGGACCUUCGGGCCUCUCACUAUCGGAUGAACCCAGAUGGGAUUAGCUAGUAGGCGGGGUAAUGGCCCACCUAGGCGACGAUCCCUAGCUGGUCUGAGAGGAUGACCAGCCACACUGGAACUGAGACACGGUCCAGACUCCUACGGGAGGCAGCAGUGGGGAAUAUUGCACAAUGGGCGCAAGCCUGAUGCAGCCAUGCCGCGUGUAUGAAGAAGGCCUUCGGGUUGUAAAGUACUUUCAGCGGGGAGGAAGGCGGUGAGGUUAAUAACCUUGCCGAUUGACGUUACCCGCAGAAGAAGCACCGGCUAACUCCGUGCCAGCAGCCGCGGUAAUACGGAGGGUGCAAGCGUUAAUCGGAAUUACUGGGCGUAAAGCGCACGCAGGCGGUCUGUUAAGUCAGAUGUGAAAUCCCCGGGCUUAACCUGGGAACUGCAUUUGAAACUGGCAGGCUUGAGUCUCGUAGAGGGGGGUAGAAUUCCAGGUGUAGCGGUGAAAUGCGUAGAGAUCUGGAGGAAUACCGGUGGCGAAGGCGGCCCCCUGGACGAAGACUGACGCUCAUGUGCGAAAGCGUGG
Molecule: ribosomal RNA, 690 nt
Filed under: Pantoea agglomerans
Lineage: Bacteria; Pseudomonadati; Pseudomonadota; Gammaproteobacteria; Enterobacterales; Erwiniaceae
Description: bacterial SSU rRNA
Rfam family: Bacterial small subunit ribosomal RNA
Source: RNAcentral